GGACAACCCCUCUUGGAUCACGGACUGGACUUUCUCGCCAGAGUGCUCCUAUCACAGUGCGCUGGAGGUUUUCCCUAUCAGGAGUUUGAGCACUACCAGAGUGAGAAAGGGCAAAGCAGAGAUUUUUGUGGACUGGCAGCCCUGCCCAGUAUUGUAUGUACC
Long non-coding RNA from Lampris incognitus (smalleye Pacific opah), 162 nucleotides. RefSeq lists it as uncharacterized. The transcript is spliced from 3 exons. The record is from RefSeq and is a predicted model, not a curated record. Lineage: Eukaryota; Metazoa; Chordata; Actinopteri; Lampriformes; Lampridae.